This 935-nucleotide long non-coding RNA is filed under the name Ananas comosus (pineapple). RNAcentral describes it as "long non-coding RNA (ACOM_LNC010893)". Lineage: Eukaryota; Viridiplantae; Streptophyta; Magnoliopsida; Poales; Bromeliaceae. The record is from RNAcentral.
UCCAAUUUAGAGCAUAAUUAGUUAAUUCGAAUUCAGCAAAAAUUCGAUACGAAUAUAAUACGUACAAAAUUCGUUUUUAAAUUUUUAAAUUCGUUAAAAAUUUCGGCUUAAAAAAUAGAUUCAAUAUAGAAUAUAAAAUAUAAGAUAAUCUAUAUUUAAAUAUAAAAAUUAUAAGUUUUUUUUAUUCAGAUUUUUAAUAAUUCGCGAUUAUUCGGCUGCUCCAAAAAUUCGAGAAUAAUUUUUUUUUUUUUUGGUAAAAAUUCGUAAACAGACCGUUUAAUUUGAAUUUUUAAUAAUUCGUAAAUAAUUCGUCAAUAAUUCACAAAUUAAUUAACAAAGAUUGAGUUGAUGGAGAGAACAGUAACAUGUUGGCAGUAAAAGGAAAAGGUCGAAGAGUACGGGCUCUCUCACAACUAAAAUUACGGAAUAAGAUAUUAUUGGCGUGUAAGGUAUUGGGUCAUAUUUAUUAUAUUUGUAUUCAAACCUAAUACACGAAUGUCUUAUAUGAGAGGCAUGUUCAAACAUUUGGCUCGUUAUGUUCACACGAGCACAUUUAGAGGGCAACAAUUCGGAAAGUGUGUAGUCUCAAAAUAGGUGCACACUGGGGUAAAGAACUGACGAUCAUCGCUGUCACGUGAUGGGUAAUCUGGUUAGAACGUAAUAGAAGAAGUUUUCAAAAAUCAAAACAUACGCUGGGAUGUCUGUUGACGGAGAUCCGAGCAUUCAGAAUUUGUGGAAACGUUUUGGCAUUUACUCUUCUUUUUCUUUGUCUUUUUCUUUUCUUUUUUUCUUGAUGUCCAGACUGUCUUAAUCUAUAGCCGAAUUCAUUUUCUAAUUAAAUGAAAUGGUCGCAUGCUAUCUUUUCUUAAAAAAAUAUAUAUAGUUCUUCAUAUAAUGUAGGGUGUGGCAUAUGUUGCAAUUAGAAAAAAAAUAUG